Molecule: non-coding RNA, 43 nt
Filed under: Schistosoma haematobium
Lineage: Eukaryota; Metazoa; Platyhelminthes; Trematoda; Strigeidida; Schistosomatidae
Also listed under: 1 other name
Source: RNAcentral
AUCCAGCUGACGAGUCUCAAAUAAGACAAAACGCGUCCUGGAU